GAUGAACGCUGGCGGCGUGCUUAACACAUGCAAGUCGAACGGUGAAGCAGGAGCUUGCUCUCGUGGAUCAGUGGCGAACGGGUGAGUAACGCGUGAGCAACCUGCCCCUGACUCUGGGAUAAGCGCUGGAAACGGCGUCUAAUACUGGAUAUGUGAUGUGACCGCAUGGUCUGCAUCUGGAAAGAAUUUCGGUUGGGGAUGGGCUCGCGGCCUAUCAGCUUGUUGGUGAGGUAAUGGCUCACCAAGGCGUCGACGGGUAGCCGGCCUGAGAGGGUGACCGGCCACACUGGGACUGAGACACGGCCCAGACUCCUACGGGAGGCAGCAGUGGGGAAUAUUGCACAAUGGGCGGAAGCCUGAUGCAGCAACGCCGCGUGAGGGAUGACGGCCUUCGGGUUGUAAACCUCUUUUAGCAGGGAAGAAGCGAAAGUGACGGUACCUGCAGAAAAAGCACCGGCUAACUACGUGCCAGCAGCCGCGGUAA
This 484-nucleotide ribosomal RNA is filed under the name uncultured bacterium. RNAcentral's name for it is "partial 16S ribosomal RNA". It matches the Rfam family "Bacterial small subunit ribosomal RNA", at positions 28 to 523 of the family's 1533-position model. The record is from RNAcentral.